UGAGGAAUAUUGGACAAUGGAGGAAACUCUGAUCCAGCCAUGCCGCGUGAGUGAAGAAGGCCUUAGGGUUGUAAAGCUCUUUCAAUUGUGAAGAUAAUGACGGUAGCAAUAGAAGAAGCUCCGGCUAAAUUCGUGCCAGCAGCCGCGGUAAUACGAAUGGAGCAAGCGUUGUUCGGAAUCACUGGGCUUAAAGCGUAUGUAGGCGGACUUACAAGUCAGGAGUGAAAUCCCAGAGCUCAACUCUGGAACUGCUCUUGAAACUGUAAGUCUAGAAUUCUGGAGAGGUUGGGAGAAUUCCGAGUGUAGAGGUGAAAUUCGCAGAUAUUCGGAGGAAUACCAGUGGCGUAGGC
RNAcentral lists this ribosomal RNA (350 nucleotides) under uncultured bacterium. Its description in RNAcentral is "bacterial SSU rRNA". It matches the Rfam family "Bacterial small subunit ribosomal RNA", at positions 355 to 722 of the family's 1533-position model. The record is from RNAcentral.